AUGGGCCUGUGUGCUGUGGCGGGUGGUCACGGCGCUGUUGCACACACCGAACGCGUGUGUCCUCGCUCGGCGUGCUGUGUGCGUGCUCCCCGCGCGCUCGUGCACGCUCUGUGCACAGCCUUAGCCGCCCGCUUCGUGCACGCUCUUUUCACGUGCUCCAUGCAUGCCCUCUGCAAGCACUGCACGCACGCUCUCGCUCUCUCCUCGCGCUCUUUGCACCCUCGCUGCGUGCUCCAUGCGUGCCCGAUUGCAAAUACUGUGUGGAUGCUCGCUUUGCACGCUCCGCGCAUGCCCUCUUGCAAGCUUCACGUAUGCUCUUUUCACACACUCCGUGCACGCUCUCACCACACGCUCUCUCCGCACACCCUGUGCACGCUCCGCACAGACUCUCUUUGCACACUCGUGCUCUCUGCACGCUCCAUGCAUGCGUGGGAGCACUCCCAUUGCUCUCUGGUGAAUGCCCUGCAGAGUCUUACCUGCACGUUCCAUGCACACCCUCUGCACAGUCCAUGCACGCUUUCUCCACGUUCUCCGCGUGCACGCUCUCCACGCAAUCCGUGCAGCCUCAGCUGCACGCUCCGCGCGUGUUCUCUCCAAGUCCUCCCCAUGGUCUCUUGCGCGCUCUGUGCACGCUCUCUUUGCACGUUGUAUGCAUGCUCUCUCUGCACACCCUCGUGCAUGCCCUCUUGCACCCUCUGUGCACGUUCUCUCUGCAUGUUCCAGGCACACUCUGUCCACACGCAUGGGCAUGAUCUGCCUGCGCACUCCGCGCACGCUCUCCCCACACGCUUCGUGCACGGUCUCUCCGCACGCUCGGUCCAUGACACCCCUGCACACGCUGCGUACACUCUCUCUGCACAUUGCGCACAUGCCCUCUUGCACGCUCGGUGCGCACGCUCUCUGUUCGCUCUCUCCGCAUGCUCCCUGCGUGCUACCGCCGCGUCCUCUGCGCAUGCUCUAUCUGCGUGCUCCUUGCGCGCUCGCUCUGCACAUCGCACGCACGCUCGCUCUGCACGCUCCAUCCGUGCCCUCUUGCAUGCUCCGUGCAUGCUUUCUCGGCAGGCUGCGUGCACGCCCUCUUGGACACGCUGUGAUUGCUCUCUCUGUGUGCGCCGCGCGUGCCCUCUCGCGCGCUCCGCGCAUGCUCCCGCUGCACUCUGCAUGCACGCUCGCUCCCAGCACGCCCGCAUGCCUUCCGCACGCUCCCUGCACGCUCGUCCCGGCGAGAAAGCCAUUAAAGCGACGCCCCAGGAAGACGGGGGACGGAAGAGGGGAGCUCCGGGUGGGAUCAAUAGCAAAUUAGUGACUUUACGCCGAGCUGAACGAUGUCCGGUGGCGGGAGCGGGGCCGCGCUGGUGUCCCCACUCGCUCGCCGCCACCGAAGCGCGCACGUGUCCCCCUGGCUCAGGCGCUGAUCUCCACGGCGUUGGCCUCCUCCUGCUCCCGGAUGACGUGGACGCCGGCAGUCCGCAGCAGCCGCGGGGCGCCGCGGGAACGUGCCGGCGAACCCGGCGGUGA
Molecule: long non-coding RNA, 1518 nt
Filed under: Accipiter nisus (Eurasian sparrowhawk)
Lineage: Eukaryota; Metazoa; Chordata; Aves; Accipitriformes; Accipitridae
Description: lncRNA (ENSANIG00000017746.1)
Source: RNAcentral